GCAGCGAAAUGCGAUACUUGGUGUGAAWUUGCAGAAUCCCGUGAACCAUCGAGUCUUUGAACGCAAGUUGCGCCCGAAGCCAUUAGGCCGAGGGCACGUCUGCCUGGGCGUCA
This 113-nucleotide ribosomal RNA is filed under the name Penstemon hybrid cultivar. Its description in RNAcentral is "partial 5.8S ribosomal RNA". It matches the Rfam family "5.8S ribosomal RNA", at positions 45 to 154 of the family's 154-position model. Rfam says of the family: 5.8S ribosomal RNA (5.8S rRNA) is a component of the large subunit of the eukaryotic ribosome. It is transcribed by RNA polymerase I as part of the 45S precursor that also contains 18S and 28S rRNA. Lineage: Eukaryota; Viridiplantae; Streptophyta; Magnoliopsida; Lamiales; Plantaginaceae. The record is from RNAcentral.